AUGCACCAUCGGCCAGCCAAGACCACGCCGUGGUGGAUUUGGACGGGACGCCAGAUCCGCGGCCGCCGUGACCCAUCUUCAGGCAGAGCCAUCCACCAGUUCAUCCAUGGAGUGAUGCCACCAUCCAUGCACGAAGGGAAGCCCAUCGCCGUCUUGGACCGCUGCCCGCCGUCGCCCAGGCUAGGGGCGCCGCCCUGCCUACUGCCCACGAGCGCACCACAAGAGACGCCCCUGCCGCCUCAAGGGGAUCCCGCGGCAGAUACGCCCGUCCUAGCGCCUUGGCACCGGGCCCGCCGCCACCGCGGACCUCGCCGGCGGCAGCGGCGGCAGGAGAAUGGCCGAGGGAGGCUGCUGGCGGCGCUGGUUUUUUGGCCCCCUGGCGUCGCCCAGGGAGGCGAUGCGAGGGGGUCACGUCGUCUCCAGAAGUUAGUAGCAACGCAUGAUGUUGUGUUCUUGUUGACUGACACAAGGGAAAGCAGGUGGCUUCCAACACUUCUCCGUGCGAAUGAAAACAAGAUUGCUAUUACUGCAGCCCUAGGAUUUGAUAGCUACCUUGCCAUGCGACACGGAGCUGGUCCAGGAACAUAUUCUGAAACUUCAAAUGUGGUUGCUGCCACAACUAAGCUGUCUGCAGAAGAUGUUCUUCGCCGUCAAAGGCUGGGCUGUUACUUUUGCAACGACGUUAUUGCUCCAGUUGAUUCAGUCUCCAACCGAACACUGGACCAACAGUGCACAGUAACACGACCUGGACUGGCCUCCAUUGCAUCUGGGAUACAUGCUCCAGGAGAUACUUCUGGCGCGACCAGUGAGCGUCCAUUUGAUCUGUUGCCGCACCAGAUACGGGGAUCAAUAUCGCAGUACAACUUAUUAACCCUCUUGGGAUAUGCCUCAAGCAGAUGCGUUGCAUGUUCCAACGCGGCGAUCAAUGAACCAACCUAUCUAGAAGACCUUACCGGCCUGACGGACUUGAUGAAAUGCACGGAUUAUUCUCAGGUUGAGUGGGUAGAUGAAGUCAAAGAUGACGAGUUCGCCGACAUCUGA
Molecule: ribosomal RNA, 1041 nt
Filed under: Triticum aestivum (bread wheat)
Lineage: Eukaryota; Viridiplantae; Streptophyta; Magnoliopsida; Poales; Poaceae
Description: partial small subunit ribosomal RNA
Source: RNAcentral